UGGGGAAUAUUGGGCAAUGGGCGCAAGCCUGACCCAGCAACGCCGCGUGAAGGAAGAAGGCUUUCGGGUUGUAAACUUCUUUUAUAAGGGACGAAAGCAGUGACGGUACCUUAUGAAUAAGCUCCGGCUAACUACGUGCCAGCAGCCGCGGUAAUACGUAGGGAGCAAGCGUUAUCCGGAUUUACUGGGUGUAAAGGGCGUGUAGGCGGGAAGGCAAGUCAGAUGUGAAAACUAUGGGCUCAACCCAUAGCCUGCAUUUGAAACUGUUUUUCUUGAGUACUGGAGAGGCAGGCGGAAUUCCGUGUGUAGCGGUGAAAUGCGUAGAUAUACGGAGGAACACCAAUGGCGAAGGCAGGUUGCCAGCAGAUGACUGACGCUGAGGUGCGAAGGUGCGGGGAGCAAACAAGAUUAGAUACCCUGGUAGU
This 425-nucleotide ribosomal RNA is filed under the name uncultured Oscillospiraceae bacterium. RNAcentral describes it as "bacterial SSU rRNA". It matches the Rfam family "Bacterial small subunit ribosomal RNA", at positions 355 to 794 of the family's 1533-position model. The record is from RNAcentral. Lineage: Bacteria; Bacillati; Bacillota; Clostridia; Eubacteriales; Oscillospiraceae.